AUUGAACGCUGGCGGCAGGCCUAACACAUGCAAGUCGAGCGGAUGAAGGGAGCUUGCUCCUGGAUUCAGCGGCGGACGGGUGAGUAAUGCCUAGGAAUCUGCCUGGUAGUGGGGGAUAACGUCCGGAAACGGGCGCUAAUACCGCAUACGUCCUGAGGGAGAAAGUGGGGGAUCUUCGGACCUCACGCUAUCAGAUGAGCCUAGGUCGGAUUAGCUAGUUGGUGGGGUAAAGGCCUACCAAGGCGACGAUCCUUAACUGGUCUGAGAGGAUGAUCAGUCACACUGGACCUGGGACCCGGUCCAGCCUCCUACGGGGGGCAGCAGGGGGGAAUUUUGGAAAAUGGGCGAAAGCCUGAUCCAGCCAUGCCGGGUGUGUGAAGAAGGUCUUCGGUUUGUAAAGCCCUUUAAGUUGGGAGGAAGGGCAGUAAGUUAAUACCUUGCUGUUUUGACGUUACCAACAAAAUAAGCACCGGCUAACUUCGU
RNAcentral lists this ribosomal RNA (483 nucleotides) under uncultured bacterium. RNAcentral's name for it is "partial 16S ribosomal RNA". It matches the Rfam family "Bacterial small subunit ribosomal RNA", at positions 30 to 506 of the family's 1533-position model. The record is from RNAcentral.